Molecule: small nucleolar RNA, 126 nt
Filed under: Echinops telfairi (small Madagascar hedgehog)
Lineage: Eukaryota; Metazoa; Chordata; Mammalia; Afrosoricida; Tenrecidae
Description: Small nucleolar RNA SNORA61 (ENSETEG00000026276.1)
Source: RNAcentral
ACCCUGCAGACUCCUUAUCCCUUAGAUCUAAACAUUGGUCUGUGUGGCUAUUAAAGGAAGAAAAGUGAAAGUUGGAUCCUUGGACUUGGAUUCUUAUGGUGACGUGCAAGUUCAUUUCAAACAACA